UGGGGAAUCUUCCGCAAUGGACGAAAGUCUGACGGAGCAACGCCGCGUGAGUGAAGAAGGUUUUCGGAUCGUAAAACUCUGUCUUUUGGGGCGAACGUGAGUAUGGUGAACAAUCAUAGUCAGUGACGGUACCAAAGGAGGAAGCCACGGCUAACUACGUGCCAGCAGCCGCGGUAAUACGUAGGUGGCAAGCGUUGUCCGGAAUUAUUGGGCGUAAAGAGCGCGUAGGCGGGAUAGUCAGUCUGUUGUAAAAGUGCGGGGCUCAACCCCGUGAUGGCAAUGGAAACAGCUAUUCUUGAGUGCAGGAGAGGAAAGUGGAAUUCCCAGUGUAGCGGUGAAAUGCGUAGAUAUUGGGAGGAACACCAGUGGCGAAGGCGACUUUCUGGACUGUGUCUGACGCUGAGGCGCGAAAGCCAGGGGGAGCGAACGGGAUUAGAUACCCCGGUAGUCCUGGCCGUAAACGAUGGGUACUAGGUGUGGGAGGUAUCGACCCCCUUCCGUGCCGGAGUUAACGCAAUAAGUACCCCCGCUGGGGAGUACGGUCGCAAGACUGAAACUUAAUGAAUUGACGGGGUCAUAGCUGUUUCCUG
This 590-nucleotide ribosomal RNA is filed under the name uncultured bacterium. RNAcentral's name for it is "partial 16S ribosomal RNA". It matches the Rfam family "Bacterial small subunit ribosomal RNA", at positions 355 to 1376 of the family's 1533-position model. The record is from RNAcentral.